UGGCGGCGUGCCUAACACAUGCAGUCGAACGAGAAAGCUCUCUUCGGAGAGCGAGUACAGUGGCGAACGGGUGAGUAACACGUUGGUGACCUGCCCCGAGGUGGGGGAUAACUAUGGGAAACCAUAGCUAAUACCCCAGAUGUUAAGGAGUUUAGACGUCCUUAACUAAAGUUCCGGCGCCUCGGGAGGGGCCUGCGGGCUAUCAGCUUGUUGGUGAGGUAAUGGCUCACCAAGGCUAAGACGGCUAGGGGGCGUGAGAGCGCGAUCCCCCACAAUGGAACUGAGAAACGGUCCAUACUCCUACGGGAGGCAGCAGUGAGGAAUAUUGCACAAUGGGGGCAACCCUGAUGCAGCAACGCCGCGUGAACGAUGAAGGCCUUCGGGUUGUAAAGUUCUUUUCUAAGGGACGAUAAUGACGGUACCUUAGGAAUAAGUCCCGGCUAACUACGUGCCAGCAGCCGCGGUAAAACGUAGGGGGCGAGCGUUAUCCGGAUUUAUUGGGCGUAAAGCGCGCGUAGGCGGCGCUGAAAGUUGGACGUGAAAGCUCCUGGCUCAACUGGGAGAGGUCGUUCAAAACUCCAGUGCUUGAGGUUGGAAGAGGAGAGUAGAAUUCCCGGUGUAGUGGUGGAAUGCGUAGAUAUCGGGAGGAAUACCAGUGGCGAAAGCGACUCUC
RNAcentral lists this ribosomal RNA (673 nucleotides) under uncultured bacterium. RNAcentral describes it as "bacterial SSU rRNA". It matches the Rfam family "Bacterial small subunit ribosomal RNA", at positions 37 to 729 of the family's 1533-position model. The record is from RNAcentral.